GCUCUGGUGGCUCAAUCGGAUAGAGCGUUGGACUUCUAAUCCAAAGGUUGCGGGUUCAAGUCUCGUCCAGAGUA
RNAcentral lists this transfer RNA (74 nucleotides) under Perkinsus marinus ATCC 50983. It matches the Rfam family "tRNA". From Rfam's summary of the family: Transfer RNA (tRNA) molecules are approximately 80 nucleotides in length. Their secondary structure includes four short double-helical elements and three loops (D, anti-codon, and T loops). Lineage: Eukaryota; Perkinsozoa; Perkinsida; Perkinsidae. The record is from Rfam by way of RNAcentral.